This 28-nucleotide small RNA is filed under the name Bombyx mori (domestic silkworm). RNAcentral's name for it is "ovarian small RNA-22301". Lineage: Eukaryota; Metazoa; Arthropoda; Insecta; Lepidoptera; Bombycidae. The record is from RNAcentral.
UAGCAUCGUGGCCACGACGGUCGGCGAA